This 595-nucleotide ribosomal RNA is filed under the name uncultured bacterium. RNAcentral describes it as "bacterial SSU rRNA". It matches the Rfam family "Bacterial small subunit ribosomal RNA", at positions 338 to 1533 of the family's 1533-position model. The record is from RNAcentral.
CCUACGGGAGGCAGCAGUGGGGAAUCUUGCGCAAUGGGCGAAAGCCUGACGCAGCCAUGCCGCGUGAAUGAUGAAGGUCUUAGGAUUGUAAAAUUCUUUCACCGGGGACGAUAAUGACGGUACCCGGAGAAGAAGCCCCGGCUAACUUCGUGCCAGCAGCCGCGGUAAUACGAAGGGGGCUAGCGUUGCUCGGAAUUACUGGGCGUAAAGGGAGCGUAGGCGGAUAGUUUAGUCAGAGGUGAAAGCCCAGGGCUCAACCUUGGAAUUGCCUUUGAUACUGGCUAUCUUGAGUAUGGGAGAGGUUAGCGGAACUCCGAGUGUAGAGGUGAAAUUCGUAGAUAUUCGGAAGAACACCAGUGGCGAAGGCGGCUAACUGGCCCAUUACUGACGCUGAGGCUCGAAAGCGUGGGGAGCAAACAGGAUUAGAUACCCUGGUAGUCCACGCCGUAAACGAUGAGUGCUAGUUGUCGGCAUGCAUGCAUGUCGGUGACGCAGCUAACGCAUUAAGCACUCCGCCUGGGGGAGGUACGGUCGCGAGAUAAACUACAANAGAGUAGACGCGNGAGACGNGCCGACGACGACGACGAGGGAGAGG